CACGUGGGAGUGGCUUGCCUGCCCAGACCCACUGAGCCUGCAGGUGUCCCUGGUAGGAGAGAUGGGAGGGCUUGUCCCUGACCAUUUCGCGCAUCACUGCUGCGGGUGAGAAACCAGGGACAGGUGGGAGAGGAGGGGCACCUCCUGAGCCUCCCCUCCCUGUGGAGACCCCCAUGUCACCAGCUGUGCCUGAGGCAGGGCAGCGCCACGUCCCUCUCUCUCCAGCUGCCCUUGGUCACCCAGCACCUGUUUUGUGUCAGGAGGGGUUUAUUGGGGGGGAGUGCCUUGGUCCCAACUCUGGGCUCUUUGUGGGACUUAGGCACACCUGGGAAUGACUCACAGGUGAAGGGCUGGGGGAGGACAGGUCCCUGGAGGUUCUGAUAGCUGCUGGCCUCUUGCAAUUUAAGUGGGCAAGGCCUUAGGGCCAUGUCACCAGCCUCAUGCUUUCCAAGUGUUGCCCUUCCCUGCUGCGUCACCUCUUCCCCACCAGGGAACGGAGGGAGGGCAGGUGGGAGCCCCCGGUGGGGAACUCGAGGAUUCAGGGAUGGCACAGACAGGAGUCCUUCAGCUCAGUGGGAACUGGACAUCCCUCGCCUAGGGUUGGGGGAGUGCCUCUGGCCACAGGCCAGGAUCGCCGGCUCCUUGCUCCUCAACUCCGACCCUGCAGGCGGAUCAGUUCCUUAAAAGGGCUGUUCUUGGGCCUUCCCAACAGGUGCCCAGGGUGCAGCUGGAGUACACACUGAUGUCAACCUCCCAGAGUGUCCUGGACGGGCGCCGAGGCCACCUCCACCCUGUUACACCAGAGGAACAAGGGUGACAACUGUCUGGGCUGAGUCCUGGGCUGGCUCUGUGGGGAGGUGGCUCCAGGCCUCUCCAGGGACUGGAGUGAAGGCCUGAGAGUGCCCACCCCUGAGGGAGAGGACCCCGUGUGGGGGUGGAUGCCCUACUCCAGGACAGCUCUCGGCUGCCUCUCAGCCCCAAGCUGUGGACAGCCCUGCAGGAGCUCUCACCACUUGGUGCAAUGGUGGGGAUGGGGACAGGGCUGUCUGAGCUGGCACUUGAUCCUACGCCAGCCCCCGGUUCCCAGAGGAGCGAAGACUGGACAUCAUGCUCAGGCCCCCUGGCUCCAGGCCCCACCCUGGCUCCAGGCUCCCAUUGUCCCAGCGUGGUGCCAGUGAGUAGCUGGUGACUGAGGGACUCAGGGUGCCCAGAUCCCAGCCCAGGGUUGUCUCCUGCCCCCCCGCCUGCUGAGGGGCUGGAGCCCGUGCUGACUUCCCUGCCCCAGAUGCCUCAGUUCCCGCCCCCAGACCUGCCACCCUGCCCUUGGUCUCUCCCUGGGCAUGAGAAAUGAGCCCCUGGGCCUGGCAGUAGCCUGAGGUGUCCCAGAUCUCCUAAUAACAGAAGCACUGGGAGGCCCCAGAUGGAGGCCGCGUGGAGGUAGAAGGGUCAGCUGUGGACGGCAGGAAAUGUCUGAUUUUUGGCAUCCGACUGCCUCUGCAAUGACAUCAUCAGAAGGUUGUCACUGACUGGGCAGUAAAGCAGCUCAUGACCCUGACUGUAGAAUGCCCAGUGGAGCCAGCCUGCAGCCCUGGCCGUGGCCACUCCUGGCUUCAGCCGAGGCCCCUCACGGGCAGCAGCCCUGCCAGGAGCGGGCUGCAGAGUCUUGCCCAAGCACCCUGCGGCCUGGCCCCGCCCUCUGCAAUGCACCUCGGCCUGACGGGCAGCCUUGUCCACCAGGUAUCCCCAGUUGCAGUGCGGUUAGCUGGGGGAGCUGGGGUACCACCCUGGGUGGGGGCCAAGGGCGGGGGUCCGUGUCUUCCGGCACAGCUUCCUGCAGGCUCUCAGUUCCCAGAGGGGGAGGGAAGCAGGAGAGGCCGCAGAAGUGGGAGGUGACAGGAAACCCAGGGCUGCGGCUCUCUGCCCCACUGCCUCUGAGACCUGUGUCUCCCAGGAAAACAGGCCUCCAGGGACUGGACACUGCAGGACCUAGGCCCUCUUCUGGGGGUGGCAGGUGCCGAGGAGGCCCCUUACUGGACUUCCCAGCACUCAGAAGCAAGCCUCGUGGAGCUGCCCCCUCCAUAUGUGGCCGCAUGCCGUGAUUCCAGUCGCCACCCUAGAGACAUCCCCAACCCAGGAGGGAUGGAGCCUCUCCCAUGCCCACCUCAGUCCCCCGCUCAAGCCAAUUCCUUCUCAACAGAGGGCCUGAGAGCCAGAGACGGAGGGGCUGGGGAAUGGGAAAGCCAGCUGCCCCCAGCCAAUCACCCCAGAACACCACUGCUCAGCCUCCGAGUUGGAGGGCAGCCCGGUGUGGGCUCUUGGCCCACGGCCCACUGGGCCCACAUCAAAGUCCUGGUCAGGCCCGUCUCCCAAGUCAGGGUCUCUUCCAUGCUCACGUGGUGGUCUCAUAGUUGAGCUUGGUUUGUAAAACAGAGAUGCCUGUUCUCUGUGGUGGUGGCGGGGGGCAGUGGCUGGGGGCAGGGCCGGGGCGGUGGCCGGGGCGGCUCUCAGCUCCUGGAGGUACAUGGAGAGCUCUUGUGGCUCCUGGGGGAGAUCAUAUCAUGUCACCUUGUUAAACCAAGUCCACCCCUCGUGACAUCUCUCCAUGAAAGAGGCCAAGGCCUUCUGUUUACAGGGUGACUCUAGGGACCUCUAUAAGGCGAGUACCCCAGGGACAGUGGUUUGGGGCUUCCAAAGAAAGCUGAGAGAUAGCUCCUUGUCCCCUGGACUGAGGUGGAUGGAGCGUCCCCGAGGGCCACCUCUGUGGGACACCCCAGGCUUUGCCACCCUCAGGCUGAGGACUCCCACAGCCAGCUGACCCAGCAGGGCAUCCCUGCGUCCCGCAUGCCCAGCCCAAGCUCGGGACAGGAGGUUUUGGAGGGAACCCUAACCCUAGCAGAGCGUCCCAGAUAGAGGCUCAAUCACUGUCAUGGCUUGCCGGCUGCACAAGAGUUCCCUGGAGGAUUCCGAUGCAAUAACUCAUCAGGCACACGAUAAAUCCAGGGAAUACCUCCUGGGUUGGGAGAAGCCGGAUCUGACUUUCUCUGGAGCUUCCCGAGCGGGCAGGGCCAUUCAGCAGCUCUAGCGCACUUUGUCUGUUACCUGGGAGGCUCCCUCCUGCAGGACAGGGCUCCCAGUGAAAGCCAACCCCGAAGAGGGAAUUGUGCUCAGGGACCCCAGAGUGUGGCAGUCCCCCGACUGAGUGCUGUCUCUGCUCAGUUGAUCAGCACCAGGGGGAGAGGUAAAUAGGGGUGCCGAGAGGAGGAGAAGGGAGGACCAGCCACUGCCACCUGCCCGUCAGCUGCAAGCACCUGUGGAGACAGGACGGGUGCCCACAGGAGACGGAUUCCCCUUGCAGAGCUCCUGGCUGAACCAGCUGCUGCUGAGGUCUGCUGUCAGGGCACGUGUGGAUGUCACAGGCCCUCUCCAGGAGGGACAAGCUGGGCCCUGGGAAGCUAGUGGGAUGCAUGGGCCAACUGCAGGAUGUGGAGAUAGAUCAUGGAGCAAGAACUGCGGUUUCCUCACCCCCCAGAUGCUGCACUGGAGCUGGCUGAGACGGGCCUGGCAGAGUCUGCAGCACUGGGCUCCUGAGGAGCAGAGCCCCGCUCCAGGCAGGGGGCUCCUUCAGCACGGAGCCCAAGACCCCGGGCUGGAUUUCACGUGGGGAUGCUGCCGGCAGGGUCACGUUCCUCCUGGGAGGUGGAGUGAGUGGCCAUGGCAGGACAGGGCGGGUGGUCUUGUAGGAUCAGUGGUGUGCGCUGGCCAUGCUCAAACCAGCAGCUGCCCCCUUGCCAGCACAGGUGUUUGUAUUUCUGUUUCUGUUUCUGUACUUGUCUGCUCUGCUGGUCCCAGAGAACCAGAGAACCCAGAGCCUUGCUCGUGCUAGGCAGGUGCUCUACCCAAGCCAGAGCAGCACCUACUUGAAUCUGUCAAGUGACUUUGUGGCCAUUAUGCCAGCAACAGCAUCAGAGCCAUCCACCCGCCCCCCCCCCAAGCUCAUAUAAAUGCAGAGUCCUGGUGCCUCCUGGGCCGUCCAUUUGGGGUUUCAGGGUGUGAAACCCAGCACAUUGGACACUUCUACUCUGUGAUCUGCAGCAGCCAUCAGCAAAGGCCAUGGGGAGACCCAGGAUCAUGCUGAGCAGUAGAAACCCCCUCCAAUGGUGCUCCACCAUGAGCAGCGUCCCCUCCACCCAAGGGCAUCUCACUGGGGCAGAGCCAGGUACACAGACUGCCUGACCACUGAUUGGCCUUUGGUAGAUGUUAGGGUUUGGGUAUGAGGGGUCCCCCAAAGCUCCUGCGAAUGCAGGAAUGCUCAGAGGUGAAAUGAGUGGACUGUGAGAGCUGUGACUUUACCAGCUCACCCUGAUUGAAAUGGACUGACUGGGUGGACUGAGGGCAGGUGGCCCUGGGGUCACGACCUGGAGGUGUUCUUCUUCUUGAGGUUCCUUCCCCAAUCUCAAUCCCUCUCUCUCUCUCUCUCUCUCUCUCUCUCUCCCCUCACUGGGAGUUGAGCAGCUUUCUUCCACUGGACUCCUCCACCAUGAUGUGCUACCUCUCCUCGGGUCCCAGCAAUGGAGCCAGUGGUCCAUAGAUUAGAGCUUUGAAAAUGUGAGCCCCAAAUAAACUUUCCCUCCCCUAAGUUGUUCUUGUUGGGUGUUUUGGUCACAGUGAUGAACGAUGAACUAAAACAGAAAUUGGUCCUGAGAAGUGGAGUCAUCGCUGUGGCUAGCCUGACCUUGGGGUUCAGGAGCCUUUAGAGCUGGUUUGUGGGGGGAUUUUGAAAAGUUUAGAGAUUCAGACUGGAAAAGCUUUCAAAUGUUGUGAGCAGAGCUUAGAGGGAGAUUCUGGCAGCUCAGAAGACAAGAAUGCCGAUAGGAUUGUGGACAGUGCUCAUGAGUUUUCCCAGGGAAAUGAGGACUCCCCUGGGCGGACUGGAGGUCACUCCUGCUAUAUUCUGGCAAAGAACUUGUCUACAUUUUACCCAUGUCCUGAGAGUGCGUGAGGCUGAAUUCAAAAGUGAUGAACUGAUUAAUUUGCUGUAGAAAAUUUCAAGGCAGCACAAUAUUCAGUCAGUGGCAUGGAUACUCUGGGCAGUUUUUAGCCAAGUUUACUGUGAAAAAUGGGGGUAGAAAUCAAAAAAAGUUGAAGAAUGUUAAAAACUUGAAGUUGGACCAGAAAAAUGCAUGUAAAGUUGGGGCCAAGAAGGAUGUGCUUGUUGGAGAGACCACACCCCUAAAGGACCCUAAGUGCUGAGCACAGGGACCUGGGAGAGAGGGCCUGAGGGCACCUCAGGAAUUUGCAAGACCACCCUACUACAGGCUCCAGGGUACAGAUGAGAAAAUUACUUUGAAAGGAGAUCGUGGGGCACCCUGCUCACACGAGGUGGCAGGGCGUGGGGGCUAGGAAGUUGUCUCACAGUGCUGAGCUGCACAGAUAUUCAGAUGGGAGGGGCCAGGUUUCAUGCAAGGUGGAAAACCUUGGUAUCAUCCUUGUGAUGCUGGUUCUGCAGGGAUGCUGGAUGCUAGGUUAAGGGACUCUGGAGGCUUCCACCAAAGUCUCAAAGGAAGACCUGGGUGGCCAGGCAAAGGGUGGCAAGGUUGGAGUCCCUGUGGGCAGCUCCCGAGAGGCAGAUGCAGGAGGUUGUGGAGGUGAAGCUGACGCUGGAGUGGAGACCUCGGGAACUAAGAGACGUUGGGAGCUGGGAGCAUGGACUGACUCCUGAGAAAGCUGCUGGCUGUGCAAGUGCCAGGCAGGAGGAGAGCCCAGGUGGCACCUGGCAAGGUCAAAGGGGCGGGGCUGCCCAAGCCCUUUGGAGAGCACAUUUCCCAGCCACGUGUCUGAGGUACUGAGUGCAGAGUUCCUGGGCCUGUGUACCCAGCUGGAUUUGGGUCCCAUUUCUUCUUUCUGUGCCCCAUCCAUCUCUUUUCCAAUAAAAAUGUUUAUUCUGUGCCACUGUAUUUUGAACAUAUGAAUUUGUUUUUUAUUUUUACAGGGCUCAAGCUGGGACUUUGCCUUGAGUCUCGGAGGAGACUUUGGAGUCAGACUUCUGAGUAAUGCUGGAAUUUUAAGAUAUGGGACUUGUCAGGAUUGACUGAAUGCAUUCUGCUCUUGAGAUGGGCAUUAGCUUUUGGGAGCCAGGGGCACAAUGUCAUGGUUUGGAUAUUAGGAGGCCCCCAGUGCCCCUGUGCUGGUUCAGGAAGUUCAGAGGUGACACAGCUGGACUGAGGGCUGCGACCUCAGCAGCCCACCUGGCUGGAGUGGACUGAUGGGUGGUGACUGCAGGUGGGCGUGGUGGGAGGUGGUCAUGGGGCUGCCCUGGAAGGUGCAUCUUGCCUGUGGCCCCUUCCCCUCUGUCUCUGCUUCCUCGCUGCAUGGAGGGGGCAGCUCCCCUCUGCUGGGCCCCUCCCCCAUGAUGUGCACCCUGGGACCAGAGCCCUGGACUGUGGACAGAGGCCUCUGAAGCUAUGAGCCCCAAAUAAGCUUUCCCUCCUGUUUUUUUAGGGGGGUAUUUUGGUCACGGUGAGGAAAAGCUGACUGAAAUAGUGGGAUGUCCAGUGUGACUGGGCUGUAGGCAGAGCACACCAGGGGGAGCAGAUCCCCAGGUGGUGACAUGGGAACUGGCUGCAGCCAGGCCUGGUCCUCUUCUUGCACACUGCGGAAACCCUUCUCAUCACCCCUCCACGGGGAAUGUCUGCAAAGGUGGCGUUCCCUUGGCCGAUGCCAGGCAGCACUGCUGAGCGUGGGAUGCAGUGCUGCAGGAAGUGCUCAACCUGGGGCCUGACACCGGCAGAGGGUCCGUGGCACCUUCUGGGUCUGUGACCUCUCCCCAGCACUCUGAGGCUCCCCCACCUAUGGCUGGGCACUACUGUGCCCUCCCACAGCCUCUCUGGGGUAGUGACCAUCUCCUCACAGCAAGCACACCACCCAACUAUUUAACCCCAGGUGGCAGGAAGACAGCUGCACGGGGUGGCCUCCACCUCAGACCCAGAUCUUCAGAUGGCCCUGGGGACACAUCCUUAUGCUGAUUGAGGUUUUGGAGAUGGAGGUCAAGACUGGCACCAUGACAACUCAGGACAAGGCGGCUCAGGACCCCAGAGUGCACACAGGCUGCAGAAGCAGCUGCCUGCAGAGACGGGCAGCAUUGGGGUGUCCCUGCCCAGGACUCAGGGCUUGGCCCAGUGGCCCUCGUGGUGUCUACCUAGGGGGGGCUCAGCCCCCCUCACAGCUCAAGCAUGCUGUGACAUUUAUAAAUGUUAUACGCAGGGAACAGAAACACAUCCCAAAUUAAACAAAACCCCAGAGAGGGCCCGCGUGGGCCCUGGGAAGGAGCGUCCUGACCCCAUCCUCGUGGGCUCCUCGGCAGCUGUGCCUGGCAGCAGUUCAGAUCCUUAUCCAAGUGAACUUGUUUUUUAAGUACCUUUGUAACAAUCCCAGAAUGAAUAUUCACAGGGCAGUGACAAGAAGCAGACAACUGCAGCUUCCAGAGGACAUGCUAGGGGCAGGCCCUGGGAGGGGAGACCCCAGGGGCCCGCCAGGCCAAGCAGGUGGGGAGCCAGGGCUAAAGAUCAAGGGAGCCAGGGCCUGUGCCCUUCCCAGGGCCCUUUGGGAGGAGGCGGGAGGCCGAGGCCAAGUGCAGGGAGAAGCUGAGAACUUGGCGUCUGCUGGAGGGAGCCCAAGCUUCUGGGGCUGGUGAUGAGGAGGCAGGGCCCUGCCAGGGUCUAUCCCAGGUGACUUGGACAGGAUAGCCCCAGGGGCCCCACACUUUUCCUUGGAGGAAGUCCCCUCCAAGGGGGCUUCAGUGAGCCCCAGGGAAGGAGGAGGGGCAGGGCUCCACCCAGCAGGGGGACCCUGGUGGCUCAAAGAGUAUGUCCUUCAGGCUCUUGAAGCAGGAGUCCUCUGUCCCAAACCUGCUUUCCGUGCAGCUUCACCAAGUCUGCACAGAUGAGCAGGUGACAUCCCUAGCUCCACCUGGCAGAGGCCCUGGCCUGGCCCCACCCCCUCAGGAGCAACCGUGUGGGCUGACUGGGUUGAAGAUGAAGGGGCUGCAGGUGUCCUGGACCCCAGACUCAGGGGAAGCUCUGCUUGGUGGGGAGGGAGAGGGAGGUGGGGGAACCUAGUAGGAAGGGAGGGUUGGGACGCAGAAAGGACCCUGCCAGGUGGGAAGAGGGGGAUCACGCACUCCCACCAGGGUUCUCCCGCACCCAUGCCUGGCCUGCAGGGCUCCUCUGACAUCCCUGCUGCAUCUCCUGGGGGCAGUGGGGGCAGGGCUCACAGAGGUGGAAAUGGGUCUCCGGGAACACUAGAGAGGAGCAUGGAAUGCUCACCUCCUCCCAGCACAGCUGGAGACACCUCCCACCUGUCCUGAUGGGAGAUGUGAUUUGAGAAAAUUCAGAGGCCAGUGGGAGAGUGGCCCUGGGCCUCAGGGCCUGCCUGCUUGGCCAUGCGCUCACACUCUGUCCAUGAGGUGGGCUGAUUAUGGCCCUCUCCCUGAAGUGGGUCUGGAUGCCCUUCCUGGGGGCCACAGGGACCCUAUCCCCUGUCUCAGGGGACAUCCCAGGGGUGGUGUCUCAGGGGAAAGGAUGGCUCUGUGUUNUGGCACCUGGCAAGGUCAAAGGGGCGGGGCUGCCCAAGCCCUUUGGAGAGCACAUUUCCCAGCCACGUGUCUGAGGUACUGAGUGCAGAGUUCCUGGGCCUGUGUAC
RNAcentral lists this long non-coding RNA (8697 nucleotides) under Marmota monax (woodchuck). Lineage: Eukaryota; Metazoa; Chordata; Mammalia; Rodentia; Sciuridae. The record is from RNAcentral.